UCUGACUCCUCGUUUCCUCCCCUCUUCCACCGCCCUCCUACCUUGAUUUCUCCAGCGCCUUCAAUGGUGUCUCAUCCCACCGUUGUCAUUCCUUCCUUUAUAUCUCUGAUGCUUUCUCAUGCCGGGAAUACGGAUUAUCAAGGACUGAAAGGCUCUGCUAUUCCUUUGUGAGUAACUCCUUGAUAAUACGGGAUUCCCUGACGUGGGUGGAGGUAUCACCGGGUUUUCCUGACCAUCGGAGCCCUGUUUGGUGGUUACCUGAGAAGAUCUGAGCUGCCGGAGUUCUGACCUUGGCUCCUGCUGUUGGUGGCUCUGUUGAGAUCUGUGAAGCUGCUCCAUCGUCCUUACUUCGCCGUUGAUCAUUCAGCUGCCGGAAGGGUUGCUGAGUUUAAAGGGGGAAAAUCUGAGCCCCUGUGUCCCGAGGACACCUUUUCCCUCGACUGAAACCCUUCUCUGAUUUCUUAUCUCUUUUCUCUUUCAUUUGUUCCUUUUACUCCUUUUUCUCUUUAUUUGUGCAGAUCUGAAGUACAGGUAAUCGGAGGCAGAGUUGGAGCUGGAGAUUGCAUAUCUGGAACGGAAGAGUGAAGACCUAAAGAAGAAGAAGAAGAAGAAGUGCCUGAGCACGAAGUGAGACGGACCGGAGGUUCGGGAAACAAGAGGAGUAAUCCCGGCAAGGCGAAGAUACCCAACA
This 691-nucleotide long non-coding RNA is filed under the name Salvia miltiorrhiza (redroot sage). RNAcentral describes it as "long non-coding RNA (SMIL_LNC001635)". The record is from RNAcentral. Lineage: Eukaryota; Viridiplantae; Streptophyta; Magnoliopsida; Lamiales; Lamiaceae.